This 269-nucleotide ribosomal RNA is filed under the name uncultured archaeon. Its description in RNAcentral is "partial 16S ribosomal RNA". It matches the Rfam family "Archaeal small subunit ribosomal RNA", at positions 477 to 747 of the family's 1478-position model. The record is from RNAcentral.
CUGCAGCCCGAGUGGUGAUCGAUUUUAUUGAGCCUAAAGCGUCCGUAGCCGGACUAGUAAACCCUUGGGUAAAUUGGGCAGCUUAACUGUCCGAAUUCCGAGGAGACUGGCAGACUUGGACCGGGAGAGGUCAGAGGUACUCUUGGGGUAGGGGUAAAAUCCUGUAAUCCUAAGAGGACCACCAGUGGCGAAGGCGUCUGACUAGAACGGAUCCGACGGUGAGGGACGAAGCCCUGGGGCGCAAACCGGAUUAGAUACCCGAGUAGUCC